This 478-nucleotide ribosomal RNA is filed under the name uncultured bacterium. RNAcentral's name for it is "bacterial SSU rRNA". It matches the Rfam family "Bacterial small subunit ribosomal RNA", at positions 31 to 507 of the family's 1533-position model. The record is from RNAcentral.
GAACGCUAGCGGCAGGCUUAACACAUGCAAGUCGAGGGGGUAUAGGGAGCUUGCUUCCUAGAGACCGGCGCACGGGUGCGUAACGCGUAUGCAAUCUACCUUUUGCAGAGGGAUAGCCCAGAGAAAUUUGGAUUAAUACCUCAUAGUAUAGCAGUUUCGCAUGAAACCACUAUUAAAGUCACAACGGCAAAAGAUGAGUAUGCGUCCCAUUAGCUAGAUGGUAAGGUAACGGCUUACCAUGGCUACGAUGGGUAGGGGUCCUGAGAGGGAGAUCCCCCACACUGGUACUGAGACACGGACCAGACUCCUACGGGAGGCAGCAGUGAGGAAUAUUGGACAAUGGGCGCAAGCCUGAUCCAGCCAUGCCGCGUGCAGGAAGAAGGUCCUAUGGAUUGUAAACUGCUUUUAUACAGGAAGAAACACUCCCUCGUGAGGGAACUUGACGGUACUGUAUGAAUAAGGACCGGCUAACUCCGUG